CAAGAAAAGGUCAGGAUAG
This 19-nucleotide transfer RNA is filed under the name Alopecurus magellanicus. RNAcentral describes it as "partial tRNA-Phe". RNAcentral also lists the same sequence under 3 other names. Lineage: Eukaryota; Viridiplantae; Streptophyta; Magnoliopsida; Poales; Poaceae. The record is from RNAcentral.